AGAGUUUGAUCCUGGCUCAGGAUGAACGCUAGCGGGAGGCCUAACACAUGCAAGUCGAACGGGAAGGGCAGCAAUGCCCCGAGAGUGGCGCACGGGUGAGUAACGCGUAUGCAACCUGCCUUUAACUGAGGGAUAGCCCAUAGAAAUGUGGAUUAAUACCUCAUAGUUCUUUUGUCCUGCAUGGGAUAGAAGAUAAAGCUCCGGCGGUUAAAGAUGGGCAUGCGUGACAUUAGCUAGUUGGUGAGGUAACGGCUCACCAAGGCGACGAUGUCUAGGGGUUCUGAGAGGAUGAUCCCCCACACUGGUACUGAGACACGGACCAGACUCCUACGGGAGGCAGCAGUGAGGAAUAUUGGUCAAUGGGCGCAAGCCUGAACCAGCCAUCCCGCGUGCAGGAUGACGGCCCUAUGGGUUGUAAACUGCUUUUGUACACCAAGAAAACUCCCGACGUGUCGGGAUCUGACGGUAGUGUAUGAAUAAGCAUCGGCUAACUCCGUGCCAGCAGCCGCGGUAAUACGGAGGAUGCAAGCGUUAUCCGGAUUCAUUGGGUUUAAAGGGUGCGUAGGCGGCCUUUUAAGUCAGUGGUGAAAUCCUGCCGCUUAACGGUAGAAUUGCCAUUGAUACCGAAAGGCUUGAGUUCAGUUGAGGUAAGCGGAAUGUGUAGUGUAGCGGUGAAAUGCUUAGAUAUUACACAGAACACCAAUUGCGAAGGCAGCUUACUAAACUGACACUGACGCUGAUGCACGAAAGCGUGGGGAGCGAACAGGAUUAGAUACCCUGGUAGUCCACGCCGUAAACGAUGUUCACUCGCUGUUUGCGAUAUAUAGCAAGCGGCCAAGCGAAAGCAUUAAGUGAACCACCUGGGGAGUACGAUCGCAAGGUUGAAACUCAAAUGAAUUGGACGGAAUCU
Molecule: ribosomal RNA, 910 nt
Filed under: uncultured bacterium
Lineage: Bacteria
Description: bacterial SSU rRNA
Rfam family: Bacterial small subunit ribosomal RNA
Source: RNAcentral